GAACAACUGAUAAACAUGGAGUGUAUAAGCUGGAAAUACCUCAUGUUGAUGGAGUUGAUUGUGUGGAUGGCAUGGCAAUUGAGUCACUCUGCCAAGCAAGCCUACUAGAAAGCUCAUCUUCAGCAUGCAGUGUUCCUGGUUUAAAGACUGCAACAAAUGAAAUAUCAGUAAAAUCAAAACAAGAUAGUCUUUGCAUUUACAGCUUGAAAGCAAUGAGUUAUAGACCUUCAGAAAGAAAUGCUACUUUGUGUGGAAAUCACAAACAGGAUUCGCAAAAAUCUAAAGCUCUCGGCUCUUCGAAGUUCUUUCUCCCAUACUACUUCCCCCCUUAUGGCUUCUUUUGGCCUCCUUUGCCUCAAUUUCCUCCUCUAUUUCCAAGCCCACCAUCAUCUUUUCCAUUUCCGCCUUUAUUUCCAAGCCCACCAUCUUUGCCCUUUCCUUUUCCUCCUCUAUUUCCAAGCCCACCACCAUCUUUUCCAUUUCCUCCUUUAUUUCCAAGCCCACCAUCUUUGCCCUUUCCUUUCCCACCUCUGCCUCAGUUUCCGCCGGUGCCGUCACUUUUUCAGCCGCCACCUCCUCCUGCUUUCAGUCUGGGAGAUCCAAGAACUUGGAUUCCUAAUUUUCCCACACUAGCUCCUCCACCUCCCCCUGCAUUUAAUCUAAGGGACCCCAGGACU
RNAcentral lists this long non-coding RNA (677 nucleotides) under Citrus sinensis (sweet orange). RNAcentral's name for it is "long non-coding RNA (CSIN_LNC002784)". The record is from RNAcentral. Lineage: Eukaryota; Viridiplantae; Streptophyta; Magnoliopsida; Sapindales; Rutaceae.